GAGCAACGCCGCGUGAGGGAUGAAGGCCUCUGGGCUGUAAACCUCUUUUAUCAAGGAAGAAGAUCUGACGGUACUUGGUGAAUAAGCCACGGCUAAUUCCGUGCCAGCAGCCGCGGUAAUACGGGAGCGGCAAGCGUUAUCCGGAAUUAUUGGGCGUAAAGCGUCCGCAGGCGGCUUUACAAGUCUGUCGUUAAAACGUGGAGCUCAACUCCAUUUCGGCGAUGGAAACUGUAAGACUAGAGUGUGGUAGGGGCAGAGGGAAUUCCCGGUGUAGCGGUGAAAUGCGUAGAUAUCGGGAAGAACACCAGUGGCGAAGGCGCUCUGCUGGGCCAUAACUGACGCUCAUGGACGAAAGCCAGGGGAGCGAAAGGGAUUAGAUACCCCUGUAGUCCUGGCCGUAAACGAUGAACACUAGGUGUCGGGGGAAUCGACCCCCUCGGUGUCGUAGCCAACGCGUUAAGUGUUCCGCCUGGGGAGUACGCACGCAAGUGUGAAACUCAAAGGAAUUGACGGGGGCCCGCACAAGCGGUGGAGUAUGUGGUUUAAUUCGAUGCAACGCGAAGAACCUUACCAGGGUUUGACAUCCUGCGAAUUCCUUGGAAACUUGGAAGUGCCUUCGGGAGCGCAGAGACAGGUGGUGCAUGGCUGUCGUCAGCUCGUGUCGUGAGAUGUUGGGUUAAGUCCCGCAACGAGCGCAACCCACGUCUUUAGUUGCCAGCAUUAAGUUGGGCACUCUAGAGAGACCGCCGGUGAUAAACCGGAGGAAGGUGUGGAUGACGUCAAGUCAUCAUGCCCCUUACAUCCUGGGCUACACACGUACUACAAUGCUACGGACAAAGGGCAGCAAACUCGCGAGAGCUAGCAAAUCCCAUAAACCGUGGCUCAGUUCAGAUCGUAGGCUGCAACUCGCCUACGUGAAGGAGGAAUCGCUAGUAAUCGCAGGUCAGCAUACUGCGGUAAAUACGUUCCCGGGCCUUGUACACACCGCCCGUCACACCAUGGAAGUUGGCCACGCCCGAAGUCGUUACUCCAACCCUUGUGGAGGAGGAUGCCGAAGGUGGGGCUGAUGACUGGGGUGAAGUCGUAACAAGGUAGCCGUACCGGAAGGUG
RNAcentral lists this ribosomal RNA (1110 nucleotides) under uncultured cyanobacterium. Its description in RNAcentral is "bacterial SSU rRNA". It matches the Rfam family "Bacterial small subunit ribosomal RNA", at positions 389 to 1514 of the family's 1533-position model. Lineage: Bacteria; Bacillati; Cyanobacteriota. The record is from RNAcentral.